GGUGAAGGACACCAGAGUACUGGUUGCUACUGAGCAGCCAAAAAUGUUGGACAGACUUCAGGAAGCNAAUAUGCUUUUGGAAGAUAUCCAGAAAGGUCUGAAUAAUUACUUGGAAAAGAAAAGGCUGUUUUUUCCAAGGUAGGUUGCUUAACAAAUCUC
Molecule: small RNA, 159 nt
Filed under: Salvator merianae (Argentine black and white tegu)
Lineage: Eukaryota; Metazoa; Chordata; Lepidosauria; Squamata; Teiidae
Description: Rhabdomyosarcoma 2 associated transcript conserved region 8 (ENSSMRG00000020033.1)
Source: RNAcentral